Molecule: ribosomal RNA, 229 nt
Filed under: uncultured bacterium
Lineage: Bacteria
Description: partial 16S ribosomal RNA
Rfam family: Bacterial small subunit ribosomal RNA
Source: RNAcentral
UGCGUAGGCGGAUCAAUAAGUCAGUGGUGAAAUCUCUCGGCUCAACCGGGAAACUGCCAUUGAUACUGUUGAUCUUGAGUUCGGUUGAGGUAGGCGGAAUGUGUGAUGUAGCGGUGAAAUGCUUAGAUAUUACACAGAACACCAAUUGCGUAGGCAGCUUACUAGACCGACACUGACGCUGAGGCACGAAAGCGUGGGGAGCGAACAGGAUUAGAUACCCUGGUAGUCC